RNAcentral lists this ribosomal RNA (490 nucleotides) under uncultured bacterium. RNAcentral's name for it is "partial 16S ribosomal RNA". It matches the Rfam family "Bacterial small subunit ribosomal RNA", at positions 30 to 507 of the family's 1533-position model. The record is from RNAcentral.
AUUGAACGCUGGCGGCAGGCCUAACACAUGCAAGUCGAACGGUAACAGGAAGCAGCUUGCUGCUUCGCUGACGAGUGGCGGACGGGUGAGUAAUGUCUGGGAAGCUGCCUGAUGGAGGGGGAUAACUACUGGAAACGGUAGCUAAUACCGCAUAAUGUCGCAAGACCAAAGAGGGGGACCUUCGGGCCUCUUGCCAUCGGAUGUGCCCAGAUGGGAUUAGCUUGUUGGUGGGGUAACGGCUCACCAAGGCGACGAUCCCUAGCUGGUCUGAGAGGAUGACCGGCCACACUGGGACUGAGACACGGUCCAGACUCCUACGGGAGGCAGCAGUGGGGAAUAUUGCACAAAGGGCGCAAGCCUGAUGCAGCCAUGCCGCGUGUAUGAAGAAGGCCUUCGGGUUGUAAAGUACUUUCAGCGGGGAGGAAGGGAGUAAAGUUAAUACCUUUGCUCAUUGACGUUACCCGCAGAAGAAGCACCGGCUAACUCCGUG